RNAcentral lists this ribosomal RNA (216 nucleotides) under Glomeromycotina sp. RNAcentral's name for it is "partial small subunit ribosomal RNA". The stretch from base 44 to 216 matches the Rfam family "Eukaryotic small subunit ribosomal RNA", at positions 690 to 864 of the family's 1831-position model. The record is from RNAcentral. Lineage: Eukaryota; Fungi; Glomeromycota.
GGGUCAGUAGGUUGGUCGUGCCACCGGUACGUACUGGUCUCACUGAUUCCUCCUUCCUGAAGAACCGUAAUGCCAUUAAUUUGGUGUUGCGGGGAAACAGGACUGUUACUUUGAAAAAAUUAGAGUGUUUAAAGCAAGCUAACGCUUGAACACAUUAGCAUGGAAUAAUGAAAUAGGACGACCGAUCCUAUUUUGUUGGUUUCUAGGAUUGACGUA